UAGGGAAUCUUCGGCAAUGGGGCAACCUGACCGAGCAACGCCGCGUGAGUGAAGAAGAUUUUCGGAUCGUAAACUCUGUUGUUAGAGAAGAAUGUGUAGGAGAGUAAAAAGUUCUUACAGUGACGGUAUCUAACCAGAAAGGGACGGCUAACUACGUGCCAGCAGCCGCGGUAAUACGUAGGUCCCAAGCGUUGUCCGGAUUUAUUGGGCGUAAAGCGAGCGCAGGUGGUUUAAUAAGUCUGAUGUAAAAGGCAGUGGCUCAACCAUUGUAUGCAUUGGAAACUGUGACUUGAGUACAGUAGAGGAGAGUGGAAUUCCAUGUGUAGCGGUGAAAUGCGUAGAUAUA
Molecule: ribosomal RNA, 346 nt
Filed under: uncultured Lactococcus sp.
Lineage: Bacteria; Bacillati; Bacillota; Bacilli; Lactobacillales; Streptococcaceae
Description: bacterial SSU rRNA
Rfam family: Bacterial small subunit ribosomal RNA
Source: RNAcentral